Molecule: long non-coding RNA, 275 nt
Filed under: Carica papaya (papaya)
Lineage: Eukaryota; Viridiplantae; Streptophyta; Magnoliopsida; Brassicales; Caricaceae
Description: long non-coding RNA (CPAP_LNC014446)
Source: RNAcentral
CAUCUCGAAUAUUCUGUCCACAUCUUCCCAGAGUGAAUCAUCCUGGGCUGCUCGGUUUAGUGGGGGUCUUUCUCUCCUCAUUUCUUUGCACCUACAUUUCAUACGGAAGAGUUGAGUAACGAUUUAUCGGUGGGUAUUUCUCUCAGCAUUAUUGUGUAAGGGAUGGGUCCGAGGAACGCAGCUCUGAUACCAACUGUAACGGCCCAGGAAUUUAAAUGAAGAUGUAUGUAUUAAAAAUCUUAAAUGCGGAAGUGUAAUAAAAAUUUUGAUUAACA